Molecule: microRNA, 21 nt
Filed under: Brachypodium distachyon (stiff brome)
Lineage: Eukaryota; Viridiplantae; Streptophyta; Magnoliopsida; Poales; Poaceae
Description: bdi-miR7763-3p
Source: miRBase by way of RNAcentral
AUUCCCGUACGUCAAGAUUGC